RNAcentral lists this ribosomal RNA (450 nucleotides) under uncultured soil bacterium. Its description in RNAcentral is "bacterial SSU rRNA". It matches the Rfam family "Bacterial small subunit ribosomal RNA", at positions 26 to 518 of the family's 1533-position model. The record is from RNAcentral.
AGAACGAACGCUGGCGGCAGGCUUAACACAUGCAAGUCGAACGGUUGUAGCAAUACAGCAGUGGCAGACGGGUGAGUAACACGUGGGAACCUUCCUAGGGGUACGGAACAACUCAGGGAAACUUGAGCUAAUACCGUAUACGUCCGUAAGGAGAAAGAUUCAUCGCCCCUAGACGGGCCCGCGUAGGAUUAGGUAGUUGGUGAGGUAACGGCUCACCGAGCCUACGAUCCUUAGCUGAUCUGAGAGGAUGAUCAGCCACACUGGGACUGAGACACGGCCCAGACUCCUACGGGAGGCAGCAGUGGGGAAUCUUGGACAAUGGGCGCAAGCCUGAUCCAGCCAUGCCGCGUGAGUGAAGAAGGCCUUCGGGUUGUAAAGCUCUUUUACCAGGGACGAUAAUGACGGUACCUGGAGAAUAAGCCCGGCAAACUUCGUAGCCAGCCAGCCGAC